GAUGAACGCUGGCGGCGUGCCUAAUACAUGCAAGUCGAGCGAACAGAUGAGGAGCUUGCUCCUCUGACGUUAGCGGCGGACGGGUGAGUAACACGUGGAUAACCUACCUAUAAGACUGGGAUAACUUCGGGAAACCGGAGCUUAUACCGGAUAAUAUAUUGAACCGCAUGGUUCAAUAGUGAAAGACGGUUUUGCUGUCACUUAUAGAUGGAUCCGCGCCGCAUUAGCUAGUUGGUAAGGUAACGGCUUACCAAGGCGACGAUGCGUAGCCGACCUGAGAGGGUGAUCGGCCACACUGGAACUGAGACACGGUCCAGACUCCUACGGGAGGCAGCAGUAGGGAAUCUUCCGCAAUGGGCGAAAGCCUGACGGAGCAACGCCGCGUGAGUGAUGAAGGUCUUCGGAUCGUAAAACUCUGUUAUUAGGGAAGAACAAAUGUGUAAGUAACUAUGCACGUCUUGACGGUACCUAAUCAGAAAGCCACGGCUAACUACGUG
RNAcentral lists this ribosomal RNA (497 nucleotides) under uncultured bacterium. RNAcentral describes it as "partial 16S ribosomal RNA". It matches the Rfam family "Bacterial small subunit ribosomal RNA", at positions 28 to 507 of the family's 1533-position model. The record is from RNAcentral.